This 405-nucleotide ribosomal RNA is filed under the name uncultured bacterium. RNAcentral describes it as "bacterial SSU rRNA". It matches the Rfam family "Bacterial small subunit ribosomal RNA", at positions 59 to 449 of the family's 1533-position model. The record is from RNAcentral.
AAGUCGUACGGAGAGUGGGGCAACUCACUCUCAGUGGCAAACGGGUGAGUAACGCGUGAAUAACCUGCCUUUGAGAAUGAGAAGGGGAUAACUGUGCGAAAGGAUAGCUAAUACCCUAUAUUGCCUUUUGUCACUAAGGCAAAAGGUGAAAGCGAGGCUGUCAAAGGCUUCGGCUCAAAGAGGGGUUCGCGUCCUAUCAGGUAGUUGGUGGGGUAAUGGCCUACCAAGCCAAUGACGGGUAGCUGGUCUUAGAGGAUGAUCAGCCACAGCGGGACUGAGACACGGCCCGCACCCCUACGGGGGGCAGCAGUGGGGAAUCGUGGGCAAUGGGCGCAAGCCUGACCCCGCAAUGCCGCGUGAGGGAAGAAGCCCUUCGGGGUGUAAACCUCUGUCAGAUGGGAAGAU